GAUGAACGCUGGCGGCGUGCCUAACACAUGCAAGUCGAACGGAAGGGCCCUACUUUUGUGGGGUUCUCGAUUGGCGAACGCGUGAGUAACACGUGUGUAUCCUGCCCUUGACUUUCGUAUAACUUCACGAAACUGGGGCUACUAUCGGAUAGGAUCUCCUGCUCCAUUGUGGGCGUUGGAUAGUUUCGGCGGUUGGGGAUGGACUGGCGGCUUACGGGCUUGUUGGUGGGGUAGUGGCUUACCAAGGCUUUGACGGAUAGCCGGCCUGAGAGGGUGACCGGCGACAUGGGGACUGAGGGACGGCGCAGAGGGGUAUGGGAGGCAGAGGGGGGGAGUAUGGCACAAUGAGCGGAAGUGGGUGAAGGAAGCGCUGCGGGCGGGAAGACGGUCUUCGGGGUAAAAACCGCUGUCGCCUGUGACGAAGCGGGAGUGACGGUAAUGGAUAAAGAAGCACCGGCUAACUACGUG
This 468-nucleotide ribosomal RNA is filed under the name uncultured bacterium. RNAcentral's name for it is "partial 16S ribosomal RNA". It matches the Rfam family "Bacterial small subunit ribosomal RNA", at positions 28 to 507 of the family's 1533-position model. The record is from RNAcentral.